Molecule: ribosomal RNA, 485 nt
Filed under: uncultured bacterium
Lineage: Bacteria
Description: partial 16S ribosomal RNA
Rfam family: Bacterial small subunit ribosomal RNA
Source: RNAcentral
GAUGAACGCUAGCGAUAGUCUUAACACAUGCAAGUCGAGGGGCAGCGAGGGUAGCAAUACCUGUCGGCGACCGGCGCACGGGUGAGUAACGCGUAUGUAACCUGCCCGCAACAGGGGGAUAACCCGGCGAAAGUCGGACUAAUACCGCAUAAAACAGGGGUCCCGCAUGGGAAUAUUUGUUAAAGAUUUAUCGGUUGCGGAUGGGCAUGCGUACCAUUAGGUAGUUGGUGAGGUAACGGCUCACCAAGCCUUCGAUGGUUAGGGGUUCUGAGAGGAAGGUCCCCCACACUGGUACUGAGACACGGACCAGACUCCUACGGGAGGCAGCAGUGAGGAAUAGUGGUCAAUGGGCGAGAGCCUGAACCAGCCAAGUCGCGUGAAGGAUGACUGCCCUAUGGGUUGUAAACUUCUUUUACAAGGGAAUAAAAUGAGAUACGUGUAUUUUAUUGCAUGUACCUUGGGAAUAAGCAUCGGCUAACUCCGUG